CUUCAACGAACCCAGCCACAGCGGAGGCCGGUCGUCGGGCCGGUCCUGGCCGUAGGUCGCGAGUACGGCCUGCGCCUC
This is an antisense RNA of 78 nucleotides. It matches the Rfam family "ASpks TB sRNA".